CAAACGACUCUCGGCAACGGAUAUCCCGGCUCUCGCAUCGAUGAAGAACGUAGCGAAAUGCGAUACUUGGUGUGAAUUGCAGAAUCCCGUGAACCAUUGAGUCUUUGAACGCAAGUUGCGCCCGAAGCCACUAGGCCGAGGGCACGUCUGCUUGGGUGUCACG
RNAcentral lists this ribosomal RNA (163 nucleotides) under Athamanta cretensis. Its description in RNAcentral is "5.8S ribosomal RNA". It matches the Rfam family "5.8S ribosomal RNA". From Rfam's summary of the family: 5.8S ribosomal RNA (5.8S rRNA) is a component of the large subunit of the eukaryotic ribosome. It is transcribed by RNA polymerase I as part of the 45S precursor that also contains 18S and 28S rRNA. Functionally, it is thought that 5.8S rRNA may be involved in ribosome translocation. RNAcentral also lists the same sequence under 5 other names. Lineage: Eukaryota; Viridiplantae; Streptophyta; Magnoliopsida; Apiales; Apiaceae. The record is from RNAcentral.